This is a long non-coding RNA of Gopherus evgoodei (Goodes thornscrub tortoise), 107 nucleotides long. RefSeq lists it as uncharacterized. The transcript is spliced from 3 exons. The record is from RefSeq and is a predicted model, not a curated record. Lineage: Eukaryota; Metazoa; Chordata; Testudines; Testudinidae.
UUUCAUCUCUCUUAAAUAUUACUUGCUUUCAAAAUUGGACAUAAAAAUACGAAACUGUCCCAGCACACUAUUACUGAAAAAUUGCCGACUUUCUCAUUUUGACCAUA